RNAcentral lists this long non-coding RNA (664 nucleotides) under Homo sapiens (human). RNAcentral describes it as "PCBP1 antisense RNA 1". Lineage: Eukaryota; Metazoa; Chordata; Mammalia; Primates; Hominidae. The record is from RNAcentral.
ACAAAAUGGCGACACGUGGUUAGCAUUCGUCGCCAACGAGAAAUUGGGGUCGGCCCGAAAGCUCUAGAAUGCACCCCUCUUCCUCCCCGGGGCCUUCCACCUCCGCGAGUUUUAUGACUUAAAAAAGCCCACAGGCUGGUCUGAAGGUCGGAGGCCUAAUUUUAACGCGUUUUCCUCCCUUUAAUUUGAAACGGGAACGCGAAUGACUGUAAAAUAGGAAGACAAACAUAAAGAUGAAGUGCUUAAUUCAAGGUCACACAAUGUCGGGGAUGGACCUCCAGAUUUCCUUACUGACCUGCAUUAUCUUGUGGAUACCUGAGUGAAUUCCACACCACCCAUUUUAUAGAUGAAACCACUGAGACAUGGAGCAAUUGACUGAGUAGUCACUGCCCCACCCCUGCCUGGAGCCUCACACAUGACUCGCCUCCUCUCAGUGACCACAGGUGAGACGUGGUCUUGUAACACAGUGGUUAAGAAUGUGACUUUGGAGCCAGCCUGCUAGGGGCUGAAUUCUGACUCAGCCAUUUACUAACUGUGUGACCUUAGGGAGGAGGACCUGGUUGAUAGAAGAAUUUAUCUCGUAGUCUUAACAUCCACUGUAAUUCCAAACUUUGAGGACGAUAGAGAUCAGUGGGCUUUGACUGCCCAGCAUGCAGUCUCCAUU